GAUCCUGGCUCAGAACGAACGCUGGCGGCAGGCCUAAGUCAUGCAAGUUGAACGGCUGUAGCAAUACAGCAGUAGCGGACGGGUGAGUAAUGUGUGGGAACGUAUCUUCUAGUGGGGAAUAUCUUUGGAAACGAAGAGCAAUACCGCAUGAGUCCUACGGGAGAAAGUCGCAAGACGCUAGAUGAGCGGCCCAUAUUGGAUUAGCUAGUUGGUUAGGUAAUGGCUGACCAAGGCAACGAUCCAUAGCUGGUCUAAGAGGACGAUCAGCCACAUUGGGACUGAGACACGGCCCAGACUCCUACGGGAGGCAGCAGUCAGGAAUAUUGGACAAUGGGGGCAACCCUGAUCCAGCCAAUGCCGCGUGAGUGUUAAGGUCUUCGGAUUGUAAAGCUCUUUUGUGUGGGAAAAUGAUGAUGGUACCACAAGAAUAAGCACCGGCUAACUUCGUGCCAGCAGCAGC
Molecule: ribosomal RNA, 460 nt
Filed under: uncultured bacterium
Lineage: Bacteria
Description: bacterial SSU rRNA
Rfam family: Bacterial small subunit ribosomal RNA
Source: RNAcentral